AUGCAGUCUCAUUUGAUGAUAAGCAUCCAGCUUCUUGUUCUCUUUGCCAUCUGUCCUUCAAACCAGAUGUACGUGAUUUAUGAAAAGACUAUGUGGACUCAAUCCAGCUUUUCAUCUGCAGGCACUUGCCUAGAUAAAAUGAAUUGGCCAGCAGAGACCAAAAACACCUCCCAAGUACAGUUGUGCGCUACUUAUUUCAAUUACAGAUGUGAAGAAAGAGCGUUGGCGUCACAUAGAGAAGAAUUUUCGAAGGUCAUAUAA
Molecule: long non-coding RNA, 261 nt
Filed under: Struthio camelus australis
Lineage: Eukaryota; Metazoa; Chordata; Aves; Struthioniformes; Struthionidae
Description: lncRNA (ENSSCUG00000012475.1)
Source: RNAcentral